RNAcentral lists this long non-coding RNA (360 nucleotides) under Mytilus galloprovincialis (Mediterranean mussel). Lineage: Eukaryota; Metazoa; Mollusca; Bivalvia; Mytilida; Mytilidae. The record is from RNAcentral.
GUGGGUUUUUUUCAUAUCUUUUACAAAUUGUUGAUCUAUUAUUUCUAAAUUAAUCCAAAUAUGAUUAAAGUUGUACACAAGUUGAGAUGUUUCAUGUGAUAUUAUGAAUUUAUAUAAAGAUUGAAAGCUUUUUUGAAAUGGUGCUGGUGUAAAAUAAAUAAAGGAUAACCCGGCCCUUCUGGCCUCUGGAUACGUUUCUUUCUUUCUUUCUUUUUUUCUUUCUUUCUUUCUUUCUUUCUUUCUUUCUUUCUUUCUUUCUUUCUUUCAGUAUUAACCUUAAUCAAAUGAUAAUAAUAAUAAUAAUAAUAAACCUCACUCAUUUGCAUGUUUAUCAUCAGAUAAACCAGUGGAUUGAAAUCC